UACGUAGGGUCCGAGCGUUGUCCGGAAUUAUUGGGCGUAAAGAGCUCGUAGGCGGUCCGUUAAGUCGGAAGUGAAAUCUCAAGGCUCAACCUUGAAAUCGCUUUCGAUACUGGCGGACUUGAGGCAGGUAGGGGAAGGUGGAAUUCCUGGUGUAGCGGUGAAAUGCGCAGAUAUCAGGAGGAACACCAAUGGCGAAGGCAGCUCGCUGGGACGGUACUGACGCUGAGACGCGAAAGCGUGGGGAGCAAACAGG
RNAcentral lists this ribosomal RNA (253 nucleotides) under uncultured bacterium. RNAcentral's name for it is "partial 16S ribosomal RNA". It matches the Rfam family "Bacterial small subunit ribosomal RNA", at positions 524 to 776 of the family's 1533-position model. The record is from RNAcentral.